GGGGAUGAUCGGCUUAGAUAAAUAAGUCACUUUUUUAUAUGCAUUGAAAGCUGAGUUAACUUUUAAAACUGAUUCACAAAGAUAAGUGCAAACUUGUCACAAAAAGCAAAGGCGAUUUUAUCUCCUUAUGCUCCAGCAUUAGCUUUAGCUUAAGCUGGCGGGCAAUCUGUUGAUGUUUGAUAGAUAGAUUGUUUGCUAUAAAUUUCAGACUAGGAAAUAAGCUUUCUCUGACUCAAUUCCGAAACUAAAGAGAUCGAGGUUGUAGGGUUUUGUUUGUUUCAUACCUAUUUCCUCUAAACACAAAAAAUAAAAUAACAAUGUAGAAUUAUUAAAAAGCCUUGUUUACACGCGAGUUCGAUUCUCGCCAUCUCCACAU
Molecule: transfer-messenger RNA, 376 nt
Filed under: Candidatus Campbellbacteria bacterium RIFOXYC2_FULL_35_25
Lineage: Bacteria; Candidatus Campbelliibacteriota
Also listed under: 1 other name
Rfam family: transfer-messenger RNA
About the family: Bacterial tmRNA, also known as 10Sa RNA or SsrA, is named for its dual tRNA and mRNA-like properties. Its role is to liberate the mRNA from a stalled ribosome.
Source: RNAcentral